UUAACGACAAUGACUGCUUUCAUAGUCCACGAUUUGGCGAGCGAGCGACCGGUCGUUCGCCCAAUCGUGGACUAUGGAAGCAGCCAAUGAUUGGCAAGAUAUGCUAACCC
This 110-nucleotide microRNA precursor is filed under the name Haemonchus contortus (barber pole worm). RNAcentral's name for it is "microRNA hco-mir-5937 precursor". Lineage: Eukaryota; Metazoa; Nematoda; Chromadorea; Rhabditida; Trichostrongylidae. The record is from miRBase by way of RNAcentral.